GAGCUCACGAACUUAACCACUAAUGCCACCAGGCCGGCCCCUGUUCCUUCUUUUCUGAUCGCCUAGUCUUCACGCACCAAUAGUCAGAGCCAUGGACUGUAUGAAGAAAGAAUGAAGAUUUGUUUUACAUGCUGCUGGGAACCUACGGAGGCACAGAGAAUGGAUGCUCAAAAGCUGAGCAGAGGCGUUGGCCAGUAAUAAAAAUACUGGCUGACAUGUAGUGAGCACUUACUCUGGGCCGGGCACUAUCAGAGCUCUGUGCAAUAUUAAUUCAGUUUGUCCUCACAACAACCCUGUGAAAUAGAUACUAUUGUGCCCAUUUUAGUGAUGAGGAAACUGAGAUGUAGAGAAGUUAGGUAUCUCACCCAAGGUUGCACAGCUGGUAAAUGUCACAGCUGAGAUUUGAUGUUUGAUUGUUUGAGCUCCGCAGUGAAAUGUAAGACAAUAGGACAGUGGUGGGCAUGGCCGGAGUGGGCUUUGUGUGCUUCUGGGGAUCACCAUACCUUUUUAAAAGGUUGUUUGCAGUGGGGCCAGGUCUCUGUUGAGCAGAGGGGGCCAUGACCCAGCAACAGCUGUUUCCUCACUCUUGGUGGGAACUGGUCUGGACCCACUGGCUGAUAGG
This 622-nucleotide long non-coding RNA is filed under the name Equus caballus (horse). RNAcentral describes it as "lncRNA (ENSECAG00000059624.1)". The record is from RNAcentral. Lineage: Eukaryota; Metazoa; Chordata; Mammalia; Perissodactyla; Equidae.